This 433-nucleotide ribosomal RNA is filed under the name uncultured bacterium. RNAcentral's name for it is "partial 16S ribosomal RNA". It matches the Rfam family "Bacterial small subunit ribosomal RNA", at positions 29 to 507 of the family's 1533-position model. The record is from RNAcentral.
AACGAACGCUGGCGGCAUGCCUAACACAUGCAAGUCGAACGAGUCCUUCGGGCUUAGUGGCGCAUGGGUGCGUAACGCGUGGGAACCUGCCCUUAGGUUCGGCAUAACUCCCCGAAUGGGGUGCUAAUACCGGAUAAUGUCCUCCGUACAAAGGUUUAUCGCCUUUGGAUGGGCCUGCGUGGGAUUAGCUAGUUGGUAGGGUAAAAGCCUACCACUGCGUCGUUCCAUAGCUGGUUUGAGAGGAUGAUCAGCCACACUGGGCCGGAGACACGGCCCAGACUACUACGGGAGGCAGCAGUGGGGAAUAUAGGACAAUGGGCGAAAGCCUGAUCCAGCAAUGCCGCGUGAGUGAUGAAGGCCUUAUGGUUGUAAAGCUCUUUUACCCGGGAUGAUAAUGACAGUACCAGGAGAAUAAGCACCGGCUAACUCCGUG